Molecule: long non-coding RNA, 1082 nt
Organism: Bactrocera neohumeralis
Lineage: Eukaryota; Metazoa; Arthropoda; Insecta; Diptera; Tephritidae
Exons: 4
Source: RefSeq, a predicted model, not a curated record
CAUAUGUAUGUAUAUGUUGAAUGAAUAAUGUGGAAAAUACUGAAUUUGCUAUGGACAUACUUCUUUAUUUCUCGGAAUUCUCUGAUUGGUAUUUGCAACUUAUUAUCAACAGCUUAGACUGUUGAGGGUGUCGGAAAUAUUUCGAACGGAUUGUUUGAUCUGUGUACUUGUUCAGUAGAAAGAGGGUUGGCAUAUUAGCCGACCCCAACAAGAAAAGAACGCGAUUCUUGAUUGCUCGCAGGUGCAUUCUUAUAGCAUAAAGGGAUUCUGUUUCCAGUUUUUAGUGGUUCGAGAAAUUCUAUAAUCAGCACUGAUUUCCAAAGCACAACUUCCCUGGAGGACUUGAAAAGAGCAUGCAGGGUUUGUCGGGAAAGUAAUAGAACUAAUUAUCUUCCGCUGUAACUUUACUUCGAAGCGUGCGCGCACCGACUGGAUUCGGUAGAGGGCGUUCUGAGCUAACGAACGAGCGGCUGUGACCUUAGCGGCGCAGGAAACAUUGAAAUAUUGAGGCAUUGAAAGGCGCAUGACAAGCAUAAUCAAAGAAAAAGCAAGAAAUUCGUCAAAAGCGAAGGAAACAAGAACAAAAUCUGAAUAAUAAACUAGAGAAAUGAGGAUGUGCGGCAGCAGCUGCUGUGAGGAAGGAUGUGGCAGAGGACGUGAGCAAUAAUGUCAGGAAGCUAUUGGCAAGCCAGGAUGUGCGUCAGGCGUAGAAGAUGCGCAUUGAGCGCUGAGCACGAGACAAGGAAUGAGCGGUGACGUUUCCUUUGAAGGAGAGAGCGCAAAAGUGAAACCUCUAUUUAUAUAUUGUGUAGUCGAAAAAGUUUUUUCGUAUAUUGUAUAUUUUUACAUAUUUGUUUAUUUAUUUAUUAGUAUAAAUAUAAAAAAAAUAAGUUGAAGUUUUAUUAGAAAUACGAAAAUACUUUUUCGACUAACCAAUAUAAUGGUAGUUUACACUUCAUCUUCUCUGACAACUUCACCCCAUGCCACUAAUAAAAGGAAGCCACUCUCUAGAUGUGAAGAAAGUUGCAAAAUAUUUAUACUACAACAAAAGCAAAAAAAAAACUAAAUUAUAUUUAACUUUA